CAGCUGGACGGGUGUCUAGCAGGUUGCGCGCGUUUGUCUGCACCGACUACUAUUUUUAACGCUCCUUAAACCGAUAACUUGGCGCGUUUACGUAAGCACGAUUUUCGCUUGAUUUCACGGAAUAUCAGUCAGCGGUAAGAGUCCGCGAGCGUUGCACGGAUGUGCCGAUAUCAUCUUCGAUUCCUAAGAAACGUAAUUUGAAAGAAUAGCAAAGAGACAUCGAUGAAAACUCAAGGCGACCGGUAGUUUCUUUCUCGCUUCACGCUCAAGGAGAGAGUUUGAAGGUUUACCAAACAUCGAUGAGUAUUUUACAUAAAACUAUCAAAGAUUUCUCACCUGAACGACUGGUUUUCGGUAAUGCGGAACUUGUUCUUGUUAAGCUGAGCCUGGACGUGCAUCCGGCACAUGGCAAACAGAAAAACGACACAAUAAUGAUUCGCGAUUUGCACCCAAUUCCUUUCUAAACGCUCAAUUAGACGCUUUCCAUUCUACCUGAUUCUCGUAGAUAUCGUAAUCCUGCGCCGUAACGUCCUGGUUUAGGUUGUAUUUGUCCGCUUCAUUCACCGCGACCUUCUUUGGCUUUUGGUAUUGUUUCGUGUUUACCUCGCUGAUCUUGACACUCGGUUGAACGGGCACUGAUUGAUUCACGGUAUAUUGGUUGUAAUCUAACCGGAAAAUACCAUCCAUUACUUUUAUAGUA
This 700-nucleotide unclassified non-coding RNA is filed under the name Bombus terrestris (buff-tailed bumblebee). RNAcentral describes it as "misc RNA ENSBTSG00005030363.1". Lineage: Eukaryota; Metazoa; Arthropoda; Insecta; Hymenoptera; Apidae. The record is from RNAcentral.